UAGGGAAUCUUCCGCAAUGGGCGAAAGCCUGACGGAGCAACGCCGCGUGAGUUAUGAAGGUCUUCGGAUCGUAAAACUCUGUUAUUAGGGAAGAACAAAUGUGUAAGUAACUAUGCACGUCUUGACGGUACCUAAUCAGAAAGCCACGGCUAACUACGUGCCAGCAGCCGCGGUAAUACGUAGGUGGCAAGCGUUAUCCGGAAGUAUUGGGCGUAAAGCGCGCGUAGGCGGUUUUUUAAGUCUGAUGUGAAAGCCCACGGCUCAACCGUGGAGGGUCAUUGGAAACUGGAAAACUUGAGUGCAGAAGAGGAAAGUGGAAUUCCAGGUGUAGCGGUGAAAUGCGCAGAGAUAUGGAGGAACACCAGUGGCGAAGGCGACUUUCUGGUCUGUAACUGACGCUGAUGUGCGAAAGCGUGGGGAUCAAACAGG
Molecule: ribosomal RNA, 429 nt
Filed under: Actinomycetes bacterium
Lineage: Bacteria; Bacillati; Actinomycetota; Actinomycetes
Description: Actinobacteria bacterium partial 16S ribosomal RNA
Rfam family: Bacterial small subunit ribosomal RNA
Source: RNAcentral